This 505-nucleotide long non-coding RNA is filed under the name Bos indicus x Bos taurus (hybrid cattle). Its description in RNAcentral is "lncRNA (ENSBIXG00005024799.1)". Lineage: Eukaryota; Metazoa; Chordata; Mammalia; Artiodactyla; Bovidae. The record is from RNAcentral.
AUAAGAGGACUCAUUACCAGCUGUCUUUUUGCAGAUUAACAAAAAAUCUUGAUAAUGGCUUCUUUGGGAAUGAUGCCAACUAAAUUGUUAUUAAGUCCAGAGGAAAUCAAUGCUGAUAUAAAAUGUGAAUUAAAGAAGUAAAUUCAGCAACCUGAACAAAGUUUUCAGGAAAUGAUGACUGAUGAACCAAAGUAGUUUGCUGUAGAGCCUAAAACACUAAAGAAACACCAUGGAGAACCCAGGAGUCCUUCCUCAUCUAAGAGGUCAAGUGUGGCAUUGCCGUCAAUGAAACAAACAAGAGAUGGAGAAUCCCAUCUUGGGGCCUCAUCUGUGUCCAUGAAGAUGAUGACCAAAAAGCCAUCGCAAUGUCUCCACUUGGAAUGAUGCCCCCCAAACCACCAUUAUGUCUAGAGGAAACCAGUGUUGAUAUAAAACAUCAAUUAAGGAAGGAAAUUCGACAGUUUGGAUGAAGUAUGUUGUAUAACAGUUUCUAUCAUACCAUUGG